UACAGAGGUCUCAAGCGUUGUUCGGAUUCAUUGGGCGUACAGGGUGCGUAGGCGGCGCGGUAAGUCGGGUGUGAAAUCUUGGAGCUUAACUCCGAAACUGCAUUCGAUACUGCCGUGCUUGAGGACUGGAGAGGAGACUGGAAUUUACGGUGUAGCGGUGAAAUGCGUAGAUAUCGUAAGGAAGACCAGUGGCGAAGGCGGGUCUCUGGACAGUUCCUGACGCUGAGGCACGAAGGUCAGGGGAGCAAACGGG
This 253-nucleotide ribosomal RNA is filed under the name uncultured bacterium. Its description in RNAcentral is "partial 16S ribosomal RNA". It matches the Rfam family "Bacterial small subunit ribosomal RNA", at positions 524 to 776 of the family's 1533-position model. The record is from RNAcentral.